GUCUUUAGCUUGGUCGGGUUUCAUUGUGUCAGCGCUGAUGAUGGAGUUUCCACUCUCUCCGAGCAGAAAUGUAGGAAGCUGAAUUUUGUGAUGCCGAGCAAUGAUGGAGUCCCUUGAGAUCGUUUUCCAUCUCAUUGUUGUCUAUGUUAUUCUGCUCCAGUCAUUUGGAGUUUUCCUUGCAGCUCAGUCAGAGUUGAUUUGUUCUCAUCAACCAAUCGUAGCCUUGGCUGGUGAUGAUGUCAUUCUACCAUGUCACCUUGAACCUGCCAUCAGUGCCGCUGACUGGAGAGUGGAGUGGACCAAACCUGGUUUGGACCCAAAGAAUAUCCACGUCCACCAAGAUGGACGACUGGAGUAUUGGACUCAAAAUCCUUCUUAUAAUUUCCGAACACGAGU
Long non-coding RNA from Seriola dumerili (greater amberjack), 396 nucleotides. RefSeq lists it as uncharacterized. The record is from RefSeq and is a predicted model, not a curated record. The transcript is spliced from 3 exons. Lineage: Eukaryota; Metazoa; Chordata; Actinopteri; Carangiformes; Carangidae.